Corythoichthys intestinalis (scribbled pipefish) is the source of this 394-nucleotide long non-coding RNA. RefSeq lists it as uncharacterized. The transcript has 3 exons. Lineage: Eukaryota; Metazoa; Chordata; Actinopteri; Syngnathiformes; Syngnathidae. The record is from RefSeq and is a predicted model, not a curated record.
CCUAAACAACAGAGCACAGUCGUUGCUGAACUGGAUGAAUGAACCUGUCUUGUAGUUGCUUCCUGGAGCAGCAUGAACAAACCAUCGCAGGACAGCUAAGUUGCAGGAAGAAAAAUGUGGAAAAACUAACAAGUGCGGGACUAAGGGAAUACAAUGAUGGAGACCAAGUACGUCUACUGAGUGGGAGGAGAGAUGAACAACGAUCCCUGAUUGUGGUUGUCUUAUGAGGGGAAUCCAUCAAGAGUGACACUGGAACAAAUAACAUUUGUGCAGCACAUGUGAGACUCAAAUUUAGCAUGUUUUUCUUCCAGAAAUAGUCACAUCUCAUACAAUAAGUUCUGUUAUAUAAACCCACAGCACUUAGGUGCAUAUUGCUUGCUAUUAGAAUAAAAAU